This 207-nucleotide ribosomal RNA is filed under the name uncultured bacterium. RNAcentral describes it as "partial 16S ribosomal RNA". It matches the Rfam family "Bacterial small subunit ribosomal RNA", at positions 1294 to 1500 of the family's 1533-position model. The record is from RNAcentral.
CGGAUUGUAGUCUGCAACUCGACUACAUGAAGCUGGAAUCGCUAGUAAUCGCGAAUCAGAAUGUCGCGGUGAAUACGUUCCCGGGUCUUGUACACACCGCCCGUCACACCAUGGGAGUCGGGAAUGCCCGAAGUCAGUGACCCAACCGGAAGGAGGGAGCUGCCGAAGGCAGGCUCGAUAACUGGGGUGAAGUCGUAACAAGGUAAC